GGGACACGUGGUAUCCUGUCUGAAUAUGGGGGGACCAUCCUCCAAGGCUAAAUACUCCUGACUGACCGAUAGUGAACCAGUACCGUGAGGGAAAGGCGAAAAGAACCCCGGCGAGGGGAGUGAAAAAGAACCUGAAACCGUGUACGUACAAGCAGUGGGAGCCUCUUUUAUGGGGUGACUGCGUACCUUUUGUAUAAUGGGUCAGCGACUUAUAUUCUGUAGCAAGGUUAACCGAAUAGGGGAGCCGAAGGGAAACCGAGUCUUAACUGGGCGUUAAGUUGCAGGGUAUAGACCCGAAACCCGGUGAUCUAGCCAUGGGCAGGUUGAAGGUUGGGUAACACUAACUGGAGGACCGAACCGACUAAUGUUGAAAAAUUAGCGGAUGACUUGUGGCUGGGGGUGAAAGGCCAAUCAAACCGGGAGAUAGCUGGUUCUCCCCGAAAGCUAUUUAGGUAGCGCCUCGUGAACUCAUCUCCGGGGGUAGAGCACUGUUUCGGCAAGGGGGUCAUCCCGACUUACCAACCCGAUGCAAACUGCGAAUACCGGAGAAUGUUAUCACGGGAGACACACGGCGGGUGCUAACGUCCGUCGUGAAGAGGGAAACAACCCAGACCGCCAGCUAAGGUCCCAAAGUCAUGGUUAAGUGGGAAACGAUGUGGGAAGGCCCAGACAGCCAGGAUGUUGGCUUAGAAGCAGCCAUCAUUUAAAGAAAGCGUAAUAGCUCACUGGUCGAGUCGGCCUGCGCGGAAGAUGUAACGGGGCUAAACCAUGCACCGAAGCUGCGGCAGCGACACUAUGUGUUGUUGGGUAGGGGAGCGUUCUGUAAGCCUGUGAAGGUGUACUGUGAGG
Molecule: ribosomal RNA, 849 nt
Filed under: Escherichia coli
Lineage: Bacteria; Pseudomonadati; Pseudomonadota; Gammaproteobacteria; Enterobacterales; Enterobacteriaceae
Description: partial 23S ribosomal RNA
Rfam family: Bacterial large subunit ribosomal RNA
Source: RNAcentral